UGGUCUUGAUUGAACGUUUACU
This 22-nucleotide microRNA is filed under the name Ornithorhynchus anatinus (platypus). Its description in RNAcentral is "oan-miR-7414-3p". The record is from miRBase by way of RNAcentral. Lineage: Eukaryota; Metazoa; Chordata; Mammalia; Monotremata; Ornithorhynchidae.